Long non-coding RNA from Mytilus trossulus (common blue mussel), 878 nucleotides. RefSeq lists it as uncharacterized. The record is from RefSeq and is a predicted model, not a curated record. The transcript has 3 exons. Lineage: Eukaryota; Metazoa; Mollusca; Bivalvia; Mytilida; Mytilidae.
GUUACAUUUCCAUGUAACCGUAGCCAGUGCCUAAACGGCAUAAAGUAAAGAGUGCACGGGAAAUGACAAAGUUCACGAAGUCUAGUCUGCUUAAUCAUUUUACAAACAAAAAAAUCCGAGCAAAAAGGGGGAGGCGUACGCCCUUUACGCCCAUCUGAAUCCGCCACUGUUCAAACUUAUAAAAAGUGCAUGAUGCCGUACCCCAUACUGACCCCCACUCCACUCUGGAAGUGCUACUCACAUAGAGUUAUCUCCCAUUAGUUCAUCAAAUGGCACUUUGGAUAUAUGGCAGACAAAAACAGAGCCGACACAACACCAACAGAACUUUGGAUAAACAAGGCACGAAAAGAAAUUUAUACAGAGAGAGCUUGCUAGUACUGGCUGAUUUUAGUAUUUGCAGUUGACAUAUUGAACCAGACUAAGAUUGUUCAUGAUGUAGUACCACAAGGGUUCCAGAGUUUUGUUUAUACAGGACAUUUGUACCUCAUACAAGUAUGUUGAGAGAAGUUCAGAACAAGCUAUUAUGUUUGAAGAGGAGUUGUCAGCACGUCAUCAUUGAAUAAAGUCAGUUGUAUUAGAAGUGAAGCCUAAACAGAAAUGAGACAAUUAUUGAAUAAUUCAAAGACUACAUGUAUGUUAUCUGGACUAACAUUUGUAUGACCCAAAUGUGGUAUUUUUCAUAUGAAGACUUACAAGGCAGGCUGUGGCAACAUGUGUAUGCAUUUAACAUGUUUAAAGACUUGAAGAACUUGUACUGCCUUCUUCAGAUUUCAGUAGAUUUUGUUUAAGACAGUAAAUUCUGAGUAUGAAUUGAAGAAUUUUUGCUCAUUUAAAUGAAUUAUGAAAAUGUUAUACAUCUUAAAUAUACAAAAACAACA